GUACCCGCGGGGCGGCAUCGACACCUGCCAGGGGGACAUCGGGGGCCCCCUGGUCUGCAAGGACAACGUUGGUGACUACUUCUGGCUGGUGGGACUGGCCAGCUGGGGCCGAGGCUGCUCCGGUGACAAACGGCCCGGCGUGUUCACGUCCACCCAGCACUUCCGUGGAUGGAUCCAAGUCCAGAUGGGAUUGGUCCCAGCAGAGAUAUCCCCGACAGCGACGGAGCCAGCCCCAACCCCAACCCUGAACCUGUUUGUGACCCCGACCCCGGUCCUGACCCUGAGCGUUACUGAGGAGCCACCAAAAGCAGAAUCGGACAAGUUCAUCACCAUUUCAUUCCCAAAAGAAAUCCUGCUGAGGUUCUUCAGGAAUCUGCAGAAGUUCUUGCUGUUCCUAAGGGAAAAAAUGGGUUGAGCAGGAGGGAGAGCAGAUCCCGUUCUGGCUGCAGAGGAUCUCCAGCGUUCCCAGCCGGGGCCGUGGCCGUGGGGCCAAGGUCAGCCCCGGUGCCCAGGGCUGCUGGGCCCUGCCCACGCUGACCCCUGCGCCCUCCCCGACCCUGAAUCCACUUUGGAUUGAAAUAGAGUUGUUCCUAUUCCCACUUCUCCACCUUGUCCAGUUCCUUGUCCUGGGGAAAACAGGGAUGGGAUGAUUUGGG
This is a non-coding RNA of Cyanistes caeruleus (blue tit), 656 nucleotides long. NCBI's taxonomy places the organism in Eukaryota, Metazoa, Chordata, Aves, Passeriformes, Paridae. The record is from RefSeq and is a predicted model, not a curated record.